GAUGAAGAACGUAGCGAAAUGCGCUACUUGGUGUGAAUUCCAGAAUCCCGUGAACCAUCGAGUCUUUGAACGCAAGUUGCGCCCGAAGCCAUCAGGUUGAGGGCACGUCUGCCUGGGCGUCACAUAUCGUUGCCCAAUGCCUAUUGCAGUGCAAUAGGAAUUUCUAGGGCGAAUGAUGGCUUCCCGUGAGCGUUGUUGCCUCGCGGUUGGUUGAAAAUCGAGUCCUUGGUAGGGUGUGCCAUGGUAGAUGGUGGUCGAGUUAGAACGAUACCGAUCAUGUGCAUGCUCCCCAAAAUAUGGCCUCUAUGACCCACACGCGUCUUUUGACGCUCAUGACGAGACCUCAGGUCAGGCGGGGCUACCCGCUGAAUUUAAGCAUAUCAAUAAGCGGAGGA
RNAcentral lists this unclassified non-coding RNA (395 nucleotides) under soil metagenome. RNAcentral's name for it is "partial contains 5.8S ribosomal RNA, internal transcribed spacer 2, and large subunit ribosomal RNA". The stretch from base 1 to 122 matches the Rfam family "5.8S ribosomal RNA", at positions 35 to 154 of the family's 154-position model. The record is from RNAcentral.